GCCUGGAUAGCUCAGUCGGUUGGGCAUCUGACUUCAGCUCAGGUCAUGAUCUCACGGUCUGUGAGUUCGAGCCCCACGUCAGGCU
This 85-nucleotide transfer RNA is filed under the name Felis catus (domestic cat). It matches the Rfam family "tRNA". From Rfam's summary of the family: Transfer RNA (tRNA) molecules are approximately 80 nucleotides in length. Their secondary structure includes four short double-helical elements and three loops (D, anti-codon, and T loops). RNAcentral also lists the same sequence under 1 other name. The record is from Rfam by way of RNAcentral. Lineage: Eukaryota; Metazoa; Chordata; Mammalia; Carnivora; Felidae.